RNAcentral lists this long non-coding RNA (651 nucleotides) under Pan troglodytes (chimpanzee). RNAcentral describes it as "long non-coding RNA NONPTRT004279". The record is from RNAcentral. Lineage: Eukaryota; Metazoa; Chordata; Mammalia; Primates; Hominidae.
GAGGUCCGCAGUCUCCUCGGGGUUGAAAUCGGGCAUCAGCGCCGUUUAGAGAACACCGUCCUGCUGGGCAUGGCCGGGAUGCGAAGAUGGCCCUGAAGCGCACCUCCUAGAAUUUGGUUACCUAGAAAACCAUGUGGAAUAAAACGACGAGGCUUAUGAUAUUUAAAAGACUUCUGCAUCGAAUUGGUGUUAUCAUAAGGGUUAUUUUAAUAACUGGCAUUCUCUAAGUUUCUACACGUGUUGGGGGAUGCAGUGCCGUGCCACAUUUCCCGUCUCCAGCAAGCGCAGUCAGAUUGGCGACAUCGCAGGCAAGAGGCAGGGCUGGGACUCCCACCCGAGAAGUAAUUGUCUCCAAAGUUGGACUUUUGCCACUGGUUCUGCGACUUCAUGCAAUGCCAGGGAGAGCCCCUUGAUUUCCCCCAAAUCCUCAUCAGCCUCCUUCCACCCAAGCCCAGAUGAACAGUACUCAUCUACUCACCUGAGGAUUAUGAGGAUUAUGAGUUUUAUGGAGCAAAAUUUGCCUAGAACAGGUUGUCAGCUUCUGUGGACACAGUCUUCUACCCUCAGAAAUCCCAUUGGAAGAAAGAACAAAUGAAGCAUCCCAAGGACUGGAGGAUUCUCUUCCCCCAGGGUAUUCAAGGAGGACACUGG